AACUGUAGUAUAUCAGAAAAAUUUUCUUUUGUAGAAAAAUUGCUGAGGUAGAACGCAUCGCCCGUGAGAAAAAGGAGUUAGAAUACCUUAAAUUGCUUGAAGCACAGCGCAUUGCUGAGUUACAACAAGCUAAAUUGACAAGCUCAGCAGUUAAAAAGAUUGCACUAGCUGAUAACAAGGAAACUGGACUAAAUCAUACAUUCACUUUAAGUGAUAACAAGGAAAAUGGUCUUAAUACCACAUUUUCCAAAACUACUGGACCGUCUCAGUCAAGUUCUACUGGGAAAAACAAAGAUAGUUAUGACAUUACACCAAACUCCAAGAAAUAUAAGAAAAAUAUUAAUAAUUAUGAUAUAAAUGAUAUUGAGAGUGAUGACUCAACUGAUGAGGACAGUGCUCCUAAGAGGAAAAUUCCUCCCUGGGCUAUGAGAUCUCAGCUCACAGCUGCUAUGAUCAACCAAGUAUACUCCGGACCUGUGGUUGAGGAGAUCUUCCCUCCGACUAUUCUUCUCACCACACCUGAUCUCACCCAAAUCUUUCCUAAGCGGAAAAAAUUUAACAAACGCACCUCUAGUGCGAUAUGGACUACACCACUUUCUAAAUAUUUUGAAUAAUGUUAGCUAUAUACAGUACUGUGUAUAUAUUUUAUCAUGCUUCAUGGUAUAAACUAAUGAUUUUCAGUUAAGUGUUAUUAAUGCAUUGGAAUUGUUUUCCAAAUUUUUAGAGUACAUAACUUAGCAUUUCUUAAUAUAUAGGUAUUUUCCAAUUUACGAUGGGGGUUGUGUUCCUGAAAACCGUAACAUAAACUAUGAGCCCUUUAA
This 821-nucleotide long non-coding RNA is filed under the name Homarus americanus (American lobster). RNAcentral describes it as "uncharacterized LOC121875923". Lineage: Eukaryota; Metazoa; Arthropoda; Malacostraca; Decapoda; Nephropidae. The record is from RNAcentral.